UCUUCACUCCCUUCAUGGGAGAGAUUUUCAAAUAAACUAAGUCGCCAACCUCAAACUCAAGAUCUCUCUUUCUCACAUCUGUAUAGAAUUUUGGUCGGAUUUAGGCUGUCUUAAGCCUUUCUCUGAUUAGCCUGAACUUUCUCCAAUGCAUCAAAUACUAAAUCUGACCCUAUUAUCAUGGUCUCACCUACCUCAAGCCAACUAAUAGGAGAUCUACAUCUUCUCCCAUAAAGAGCCUCAAAUGAAGCCAUCAGAAUACUUGAAUGAUAAUUAUUAUUGUAAGCAAACUCAAUUAAUGUAAGUAAUCAUCCCAAUUAUCCUUAAAGUUGAUAACACAAGCUCUCAACAUGUCAUUUAGGGUCUGAAUGGUCCUGUCUACCUGACCAUCUAUCUGCGGGUGAAAGGUUGUAUUGAGACGAACUUGGGUACCUAGACCCUUCUGAAAAGCUUUCCAAAAGUUAGAGGUAUACUAAGUGCCUCUACCUGAAAUGAUGGAGAAUGGGACUCCAUACAACCUGACCAACUCUCUAAUAUAGAACUUUCCAUAAUCCUCGGCCGAAUAAGAAGUAUAGACUAGCAAGAAACAGGCUAUUUUGGUAAUUUUGUCUAUAAUAACCCAAAUCAAAUCAUGAUGGCAACGUGAACGAGGCAACCCUAUCACAAAAUCCAUCUUCACCUCCUCCCACUUCCAAGUAGGAAUGUUGAACUCUUGUAUAAUGCUACUAGGCGUUUGGUGCUCAACCUUAACCGGUUGAUAAUUAGCACACUUGGCUACAAACUCUACAAUAUUUGUCUUCAUGCCACUCCAUCAAUAGAUUUUUCACAAAUCAAGGUGCAUCUUAGUGGCUCCUGGGUGAAUUAAGUAACCCACACCAUGAGCUUCUGUAAGAAUUUAAUGUCUCAAAUUGCUGACGUACCACACACAGAGUCAACCCUGUCAACGCAACACACCUCUCCUCCUUGAUAGAAAACCUCUAAAUUCUGAUUUGUGACUAACUUUUUCAACUUAACUAGGCUGGGAUUCGUAUCUUGAUUUUCUUUCACUUCGGCAACCAAAGAAGAUUCCAAACUAUUUCAGACCCAUACACUACCCUUAUCUGACUAAACUAAAUGAAGGGUUAACCUAGCCAACUGAAUAGAUGAGCCAACUUCUUAUUAUCAUUGUCAACAUGAGCCACACUAUCAAUAGAUAAUCUACUAAGGGCAUCUGCCACUACAUUGGCCUUGUCCAAAUAUCAUAAUCCUUCAAGAAUUCUAACCACCUUCUCUGAUGAAGAUUUAACUCUAAGUGAAAAAACAUACUGCAAACUUUUAUGGUCUGUGAGCACAUCAACAUGCACCCCAUACAGAUAAUGCCUCCAAAUUUUCAAGGCAAACAUAACAGCUACUAACUCAAGAUUAUGGGUAGGAUAAUUAUUUUUAUGGGGAUUAAUUUGUGUAGAAACAUAGGCUAUGAUCUUACCUCUCUGCAUCAAAACACAACACAAACCAACAUUGGAAGCAUUAUAGUACACAAAAAUCCUAUCUGAACUAUCUGUCAAGGUCAAAACUGGGGCUGAGGUGAGUCACGUUUUCAAAUCCUAAGAACUUUUCUCACUGGAAUUUGACCACUAAAACUUGACUUUCUUCUGAGUUAAUUUGGACAUAGGGGAUGUAAUAGACAAAAACCCUUCAAAAAAUUAUCUGUAAUAACUAGCCAAACCCAAGAAACUCUUGAUAUCUGAAGGAAAGAUAGGUCUGGGCCAGUUUCUCACUGCUUUGAUCUUUUGAGGGUCAACUAUAAUGCCAUCACCAAAAAUAAUAUGGCCAAGGAAAGCUAUUGAUCUUAUCCAUAACUCACACUUAUUGAAAUUUGUAAAUAAUUGAUGGCAUCUAAGAGUCUGUAUAACUAUUCUAAGGUGGUUUGCAUGAUCAGUUUCAUUAUGAAAAUAGAAAAGGAUGUCAUCUAUGAAAACUAUGAAAAACAUGUCCAAGUACUGCUUAAACACUCUAUUCAUCAAGUCCAUGAAAGCUGCAGGGGAAUUCAUUAGACUAAAGGACAUGGAUAGGAAUUCAAAGUGAUAAUAUCGAGUUCUGAAAGCUAUUUUUGAAAUGUCACAUUCUCUAACUCUGAGCUGAUGAUAGCCGGAUCUGAGGUCUAUCUUAGAGAAAUAAAUGGCACCCUGAAGUUGAUCGAACAAGUCAUCAAUCUGGAGAGUGGAUACUUAUUCUUGAUAGUGACUUUGUUCGGCUAACAAUAAUCGAUGCACAUUCUGAGAGAAUCAUCUUUCUUAUGCACGAAAAGGAAUAGAGCGCCCCAUAGGGAAAUACAAGGCUGGAUAAAUCCCUUACCAAAGAGAUCUUACAACCAUUCUUUUAACUUCCUAAAAUCCAUGGGAGCACUUCUAUAGGACGAAAUAGAAAUAGACUAGGUAUCUGGAAGAAGGUGUAUUUCAAACUCGAUUUCACUUUCGAGAGAAACUACAGAAAGAUCUUUGAAAAACACAUCUGGAAAUUCCCUCACUACUAAAACUAACUCGUGAUUGGUAAUCUCUAAACUAGAGUUUUUAACUUGAACAAGAUGAUAGACACACCUCUUGGAUAUCAAUUUUCUCACUAUAAGGUAUGAAACAAAAUGACCCCUAAGUGUUAAAGUACUACACCUCCAUUCAAGGAUUGGUUCAUUUAGAAAUAGAAAAUGAACAACUAUAUUUCUUUAAUCAACCGAAGCAUAGCAUGAGUGGAUCCAAUACACAUCGAAAAUGACAUCAAAAUCAGUCAUCUGUAACUCUAGAAGAUCAACUGAGGUGUGUUUCUGGGAUAUUGUGAUCGGACAGUUCCUGUAUACCUGCCUGGAUAUAUUAGAGACGCCUAUUAGAGUGGACACUGAGAAAGGUUCUGCUAAAGUCUCAAGCCUGAUAAGAAAAUUAAUAGCUAUAUAGAGAGUUACAAAAUAAAGAGAAGCUCUAGGAUCUUACAAGGAAUAAACAUGUAAAUGAAAGACCUAUAAUGUACCAGUAACUACAUUAGGAGAACUUUCUUGAUCCUAUCAAGACUGAAGUGCAUACAAUCUGCUUGGGUGCUGACCACUAGUUAUGCUGGAAGUGGCACUCUAUUGGGUCAAGUGAUUGGAUGGAACUUGGGGAUGAUUGGACUGACCCUACUUACCAUUAUUUAGGCAAUCCCUGACUCUGUGCCCUGGCGUGACACAUACAAAGCAUACAUCAUUGCCAGAUCUACACACACCCUGAUGGUUUCUACCAUAUUUCUGGAAAAGAGGAUUUGUACGACCACUGUUCACACUACCUUGGGACUUAGAUCCGGGUACCCGAUCUAGAUUAUUAUUUCUGAACUUCGGCACUAGUUCACUAGCUGAAGAUGGAGCUGGGACUGAUAAUUUCUGACAGAAUUGAGGAUGGUAACCACCCUCUAACAUCAGCUGAGCAAAACUAAAGCUACCUUUUUUGGCUCUCUUAUUCUCCUUCUCUUUCCUUAAAUUUGUGCUCCUCAAUUUGUUGAGCAUGGACUAUCAGCCUAAAUAAGUCCAUCUCCUUAAUCAACAUCACAAUCCUACACUCCUUGACCAUGCUAUUAGCUACCCCAGAAACAAACUCACUCAUCCUAGAUCUGUUAUCAAACACCACAUUAGGAGCAUACCUGGCUAGUCGAGUAAACUUAAGAGAAUACUCUUUCACACUCAUGUUCCCCUACUGCAAAAUGAUAAACUCUUGUACCUUAGAUUUCUAUAACUCAAAGGUAAAUAAAAUAUCUAAAAAGGAUGUGGAAUACUCCUCCCAUUUAAUAGGCCCUGUAUCUAUGCCUCUAUCUCCCUUCCACUGCUUAUACCAGGUAUGGGCAACAUCCUACAACUGGUAAGAUCCCAACUCCACACUCUCACUAGAAGUCACACCCAUAAUGUCAGCUACCUUCUAAACCAUGUCAAGGAACUCUUCUGGAUCCUCAUUAAUCUUGGAUCCCAAAAACAAAUGAGGGUUCAUUCGAGUUAAGUCCCGAAUCCUAGCUGCGAUAGUAUUAGCCACUGAAAUGGAUGGGACAAUAGCCUGCUGAUUAUUAUAAGCUUCUACUGAGUGAGAUAAAGUAGUGAAUGCAGCUCUGAAUUUUGCAUGAGAAACAUGCUUAUUCAGGGGAUCUUCCUGAAUAGGCGGAGGUGCGGGUUGAUUUCUAUUUCUUUUUAUAUUCGUCUUUCGGAGAUACAUGCUCUGAAAUGGAAAGAUUAGAAAGGGAGUUUAAAUUUAUCUCAUGCUUAUUUGCAUGACAUGAAUACCAAAAGAAGGAAAACUUCUCCUAAAAUGUCUUAUAGCCUCUUGUCCAUAGGUGUGACACGUUUUACACCCAUGCACAAGACUUUAAUCAACCCGUCUUUCACACUUCCUAUGAUACUUUAAAACAUUAGGAUCUGAUACCAAGUUUGUAAUUCCCUGAGAGUGAACCCUCGACGCCACACGUUUUUUACGAUCACAAGUGGCCACAAGCUAACCCAUGAGUUGGUGCCUACUGUGAGCACCGAAUAAACUGAUAAUAAAAGAUAUGCUUGUGUAUAAAUAGUUGGAUAUACUAUAGGGAUUAAAUACUAAAAACAAUAUAAUUGAAAUCCACAAUUUUGAAACAUAAGCAAAAAUGCUCAAAACUGACAACUAACCAAUUGUCUAAAAUGUCCGAAAGCAUUUAAAACUGACUAAAUAAGAUUUAAUGGGACAAGCCUCAACUUAAUCCAAUUGUCUAACUCGAGUAAAAUACUGAAAUAAACAUAAUCGUUCCUCAAAAUAUAAGGACUCACCACUGCAAUUCAUGCUGAUGUGCUAAAAUAUCUAAGUGCGGUCGGCAACCUGAGAGUCCAAACCUAUGAUAUGAGACAUCAUAGAGCAAGAAAUGAGUAUGCCAUCAGUACUUUAAAUGUACUGGUAUGCUAAAUGAGGUUAGGUUGAUAUGCAUGGGCUCAUGUGCAUGAAUAAUAAUUGAAUGAAUAAAUAUCAUGAGAAAACUGAUGCAUAGUAUGCAUGAAGGCUGUAAAAUCUGAGAAUGCAUAACCAAGCAUAGAACAUAAUAUGAGAAUAGUCUGUAAAAUAAAAUACUAAAAUCAAAGUAUUGAUUUAACUAUAAACAUUAUGCUAUGGUCAAGCAAACCUGAGCUGACAUUCAAACUGAGACUGGACUGAGACUGUGGGAGCUGUCAUCUAACCGACAUGCCCCAAUAUGAGCUAAUUGGGUCCAACCUACGACCCCAGUUAGAAGGGUUUCAGAACUAUGCCACGGAUACUAACACUGUCUAUGUAGAUCCACUAAAGUGAAGUUCCGAAAGACUAAAGAGUCACCCUCUACUGGCAGGUGCUCUUCUGAGAUAUAUGUCAACCCUCAACUGGCAGUUUAAUGUCUCAACCUACGCUGGCUAUGUUGUUUUGGAUCACAUAGACGAUUACAAAAGGUCACACCCUUAACUGGCAGGUGAGCCCCUAUUUCUAGGUUCGCUCAAUGCUAAAUCCUACUCCCAACUAAACUGACUCUGAUUACUAAACUGAACUAAGCUUACUAAUAUGAUAACUGACUAAAUUGAUAAUACUCUAUUAUAUUUGAAACUAUUAUGAAAAUACUGAGGAUAAGUAAACAACUAAGUUUUUGGGUACUCAUAACCCUCAUGACUUGAUAAUAUUAAAAGUAGAAAUAUACUAAAGCUUCAAAGCAUAAUAAGUAGUUAUUGUUCAAAAUCCAAUCAUUUAGGCAUUUCAUCAAACACUUGAAAUUCUUGAACUUAGGCAUGGAGAUGAUUGAAACAUGUAGGAGUAACAUAAUCACAACACUAAAAUCAUACAUUGGGGAUUUAACAUGGAGUUUCAUGCUUCAAAUAUGUAAGGGCUACAUUCCUAAUAAAAUCACUUGCAAACAUCAUGACUAAUUGAAAUUCAUAAAAGCUUCAUGAAAAUAACUCAUUGUAAACAUGUAAAUUCAUGCUUUAAAGCAUAAAAAUAGGUUCUUGGACUACAUGGGUGGAAAGGGCCUGUGGAUAAACAUCUAACAUACCUUAAGGCUUUAAUCUUGUAAGAGAAUUAACUUUCCUAAUCGUUGUUGGGUGGUGAAGCUUGAAUUCUUGAAUUGUUUUGAAGGAAUAAUGACUGAACUUGAUGAAUUUGGGUGAUGGCUUGGGUUUAUUUUAGAUAGGAAUUAAGGAAAUUGGGCCUUAAUAGAUGAUAUGUGUUUCACAGAUUGGGGCGGUGAAAAAUGGCAAGACAUCCCUUCUGAGAUUUAAAUUCGCAAUUGAAAUGCGGAUUAGGGAGGUACCGCGAUGCGAUGAGCCAUCUAUUGCUAUAAUAGCCGGGCCGCGAUGCUAUCGCGAUGACUUACUAUUACCAAAGUCCAAACACGACCAAAACCUCAUUCAAAAAAUUCAAAACUUCGCUGAGACAUUCUACUUACACCCCUGAACAUAAAUUAACUUAGAAAUCAUCGUCUCGGAUUCGGGAAGGUCACUUUAAAAAUAAUCAAAGUUAAGAGGCCAAAACUAAAACUAAGUCCCCAACACUUAGCUAAUUUUACAGGUUCUAAGCCUCUUGUACAUACACUAUGGGCUGAACUGUGCUAAGACUAACACAGGUAGUACGUGACCUUUUGGCUGCGCUUCUCUAACUUUUCAUGAUUGUUCAACAAUAUGUAUAUAACCAUAAAUAUCUUUAUUUAACCUAUAUAUUCAAAAAAAUUUUGAUGAAGUAUGUUUAUCUUACCACCCUUCAAUGGCUGUAGCUCAGCCCCUUCCACCCCUCUCUUUAAAAUAUACUAGUACUUCAUCAAUGCCAUAGAGAAAGAAAAUAAUCUACAAUCAGAGUACUCUUCAAUUGAAAAUGGAAAUAGACAUAGAAAUUGAAAUGGAAAUUCAGGUACAUUUGUCAUGAGCAAUCCAAAUGUGAUGAGAAACAACUUUGAUAUUGAUAAAUAUUAUUCAUUAAAAUUUUUAUUCAAAACUAUGUUUGGUACUACUACUAUUGAUCAUCCACACUACUUUGAUAAUAAUUUUACAUCAACAACUAGUAGUUCCAUUUUCGAUUUGCUAAUGUUUCCACCUCAUCAUGAACCCCUCAUUAACCUAUGAUUGCUACUUCUACAAUUCAAGAUUCAUCAAUAGCUGAUCAUAUGAUUAAUUGAUUCAGUUGUUAAGGUUUUUGUCCUAAUUUUCUUACAUAAUUUAAGUAUUACUUUUUCUUGAAAGGAAAAUAAAAGUAAUUACAUAAUCACUUUUACUUUUCCUUAACUGGUAAAGUUGCUGCCAUAUGACUAGGAAGUCACGGGUUCAAGCCUUGGAAACAGCCUCUGACAAAAAUUCAACGUAAGGCUGCGUACAAUACACUCUUAUGGUGGGGCUCUUCCACAGACACCGUGCAUAGAGGCAACUUUAGUACACCGGGCUGCCCUUUUUACCUUUCCUUAAAGGAAGAUAUAAUUCUUCUCCAUAUUUAGCCAAUCUCUUUCUUGGUGAAAAGGUUUUAAAACUAUAUAAAAAAAACACCCCUUUCUCAUGCAAUAUCACAAUAGCAUCCACAAUAUAGUUGUUUAAGAGUCUUGUUUUGGGAGAGAUUUUCUCUCUAUAGUUUUAUGCCAUCUUUAAUAUUGGUUUUCAUGUGUAGGUCAAUUGGCUAAAUAAUAUCAAUAAUAUGUUGUUUUAUUAUACUUUUAUUUGUCAUCUGAAUUAUCAUCUUCUUGAUUUACAAACUUUAAUUUUUCGCAUAUGGCCCUAUCAAUUUCGAACCUAGCAAGUGGUAUCAGAACCUAUGGCUCAAAAGUUCAAUGGUUUAGUGAAACAAGAUGAAAGACAGGUUCAAAGAAGUUUAAUAAUCAAGCUGCAAUCAGUUUUACAAUAAUGACAAUUUUCUUUAGUUAUAUGUGGAGAAGAAGUUUUAAGCAUAUUUCAACAAUCCUUUAGUUGCAUCUUUAAAAAUAAAAAAAAUAUUAAUUUUUAAUCUACUUUUAAUCAUAUUAUUUUAAAUCUUAUUUUUAACCAUGAAAAACAGUAUUGAUGAAGAUUAUGUGAAGAACAAAGUUCAUGCAUGUGAAGAAGGCAGAUCAAGUGAAUAACAUCAAGCCAAAAGGGGAGAUUUGUUAGAGUUUUUGCCCUAUUACAAAAUUUAAGUUUUACUUUUUCUUAAAAGAAAAAUAAAAGUAAUAUCAUAAUUAUUUUUACUUUUUCUAAAAGGAAAAUAUAAUUUUUUUUACCGUAUUUGGCUAAUUUUUUUUUUGGAGGAAAGAUUUCAGAACUCUAUAAAUAGAAGACCUCUCUUCUCAUACCUUAACAUAAUAGUAUCCACAAUGUAGUCACUAAAGAGUGUUGUUUAGGGAGAGAUUUUUCCCAAUAGGUUCAAUGAUUUUUGGAUAUUAGAUUUUCAUAUGUAGGCUAAUGGCCAAAUCGUAUAAUAAUAUUAUAUAUUUUUAGUAUUUUAUAUUAUGUCAUCUGAAUUAUCAAUGGUCUGAUUUGCAUACUUUAAGCUUCUGCAUAAUGCCCUCUUGAUUCCGAAUCCAAACCUAGUGACUCCAAAUUUAUCAUUGAUUUCUUCAUCAUCAACUGAAUUACCUGCUGAUGAGUAUCAACAAGAUAAAAUUUUACUUCUUUCUAGAUAAAAUGUAUAUUUUUGUUUGUCUGGUAGAGUAUUAGAAAACAUGAAAUUAACUAUGAUAAAAAUUAUAGGUAAUCCUUAGCUAAUUUGUCAGUAAAUAACUUCUAGCUAACUGGAUUUUCUGUAAAACGGUCAACUGUUGAGAUUAGUAUGAGAUUUUUGUUGUUUAGCUAUGAAAUUGUUUUCGCACUCAAUUCCUUGUUUUGUUUAAGUUACCCCAUAUUAGUUUCCCCCACCCCAUCCAUUUUUUUAAAAGAUCCUUUCUAAAUUUAUGAAUCUAAUAAUUUUAUGUUGAAUGAGAAUAUCGAGUUCUGAAAGCUAUUUUCAAAAUGUCACGUUCUCUCUAAGCUAAUGAUAGCCGGAUCUGAGGUAUAUUUUAGAAAAAUAACUGGCACCCUGAAGUUUAUCAAGCAAUUCAUUAAUUUUGGGGAGCAGAUACUUAUUCUUGGUAGUGACUUUAUUCAACUGAAGAUAAUUGAUGCACAUUCUGAGAGAACCUUCUUUCUUACGUAUGAAAAGGACUGAAGUGCCCAGGGGAAAACACUAGGCCUGAUGAAUCCCUUACCUAAGUGAUCUUUCAACUAUUCUUUUAACUUCUUAAGCUCCGCAAGAGCCAUUUUGUAAGGCAGAAUAGAAAUAGAAUGGGUAUCUAAAAGAAAGUCUAUUCCGAAGUCGAUUUCCCUUACGGGAGAAAAUUCGAGAAACACAUCUGGAAAUUCUCUCACUAUUGGAACUGACUUGAGAUUGGGAAUCUUUGAAAUAGAGUUUUUAACUCAAAUAAGAUGGUAUACACACCCCUUGGAUAUCAUUUUUAUCGCUCUAAGGUACGAAACAAGCUGACCCCUAAGUGUUGAAUUACUAAACCUCCAUUCAAGGGUUGAUUCAUUCAGAAACUGAAAAUGAAUAACUCUAUUUCUAUAAAAAAAAAAACUGAAGCAUAGCAUGAGCGGAUCCAAUCCAUUCCAAGAAUGACAUCAAAAUCAGUCAUUUAUAACUCUACAAGAUCAACUGAGGUGUGUUUCUAGGAUAUUAUGACCGGACGUUCCUGUAUACCUGCCUGGCUAUAAUAGAGACACUUGUUGGGUUAGACGCUGAGAAAGGUUUUGCUCAAGUUUCAGGACUGACAACAAAAUUAACAGUUAUAUAGGGAGCUACAAACGAAAGAGAAGCUCCGGGAUCUAACUAGGCAUAAACAUGUAAAUGAAAGACCUGUAAUGUCCCAGUAACUACAUUAGGAUAAAUUUCCUGAUCCUUUCAAGACUAAAGUGCAUACAAUCUGUUUGGGCACUGGCCAUUAGUUGUGCUAGAAGUGGCACCCUGUUGAGUCGGGUGAUUGGAUGGAACUAUGGGAUGAUUAGACUGACCCUGUUGACCACUAUUUGGGCAAUCCCUAACUCUGUGGCCUGAUUUGACACACCCAAAGAAUACAUCACUGUAAGAUCUACACACACCCUGAGGGUUUCGACCAUAUUUCUGGCAAAGAGGAUUUGUACGACUACUGUUCACACUGCCCUAGGUCUUAGAGACUAGCUCUCUAUCCCGAUUAUCAUUACUGAACUUUGACACUGGCGCACAAGCUAAAGAAAGAUAUGGAGAUGAUGAUUUUUGACAAAAUUGAGGAUGGUUAUCACCCUCUAACCUCAGCUGAGCAAAACUAAAGCUACCUAUUCUGGCUCUCUUAUUCUUCCUCCCUCUUUCCUUAAAUUUCUGCUCCUUAAUAUGUUGAGCAUGGACCAUCAAUCUCAAUAAGUAGAUCUCCUUAAUCAACAUCGUAGGGCUACACUCCUUGAAUACGCUAUCAGUUUCCCUAGAAACAAACUUACUCAUCCUAGACCUGCCAUUAGACACUACAUUAGGAGCAUACCUAUCUAGCCGAUUAAACUUAAGAGAAUACUCUUUCACACUCAUUUCCUGCUUUAAAUUUAUAAACUCCUGCACCUUAGCUUCCAUUAACUCCAAGAGAAAGAACCUAGCUAAAAAGGAUGUGGCCAACUCCUCCCAUUCAACUGGCCUUAUAUCUGCACCUCUGUCUCUUUUUCACUGCUUAUACUAGGUGUGAGCAAUAUCCUAUAACUGGUAAGAACCCAACUCUUCACUCUCACUAGAAGUCACACCCAUAAUGUCAGUUACCUUCUGAACUAUGUCAAAGAACUCUUGCGGAUCCUCAUCAGACUUGGAUCCCGAAAAUAGAGAAGGGUUCAUUCGGGUGAUGUCCCAAAUCCUAGCUGCGGCAUUAUUAGCCAAUGAAAUAGCCGUGAUAGUAACCUACUAAUUAUUAUAAGAUUCUACAGAGUGAGAUAAAGUAGUGAAUGCAACUCUAAAUUCGGCAUGAGAAACAUGCUCAUUUAGGAGAUUUUCCUAAAUAGGCGGAGGUGUGGGAUGAUUCCCGUUUCUUCUUUUGUUAGUAUUUCUAGGAGGCAUGCUCAGUAAAUGGAAAUAAAAUUAAAUUAUAAAGGGAUUUUAAAUUGGGAUCAUGCUUAUUCGCUCGACAUGAAUACUAAAAGAAGGAAAACUUUUCCUAAAAUGUCUUAUAUCCUCCUGUCCAAAGGUGUAGUGUUCUUCACACCUAUGCACAGGACUUUACUCAAUGCAGAUUUUAGACUUCCUAGGACACUUUAAAACCUUAGGCUCUGAUGCCAAGUUUGUACCACCCUGGGAGUGCACCCUAGACGCCACACGGUGCUUAUGAUAACAAGUGACCACAAGCUAAUCCAUAAGCCGGUACCUGCUGUGAGCACCAAUUAAACUGAUAAUAAAAGAUAUAAAAGUGAGGAAAAAGUUUGAUAUUCCAUAGGGCUUAAAUGCUGAAAACAAUACAACUGAAAUCCACAAUUCUGAAACAUAAGCAAAAAUACUAAAAACUGAUAACUAACUGACUGUCUGAAAUGUCUGAAAGCCUUUAAAACUAACUGAAUAAGAGUUGAUGGGACAGGCCUCAACUAACUCUAAAUUUUUAACUAGAAUAAAAUAUUAAAAAAAUAUCAUCGGUCCUCAAAACAUAAGGACUAACCACUGCGACUGUUGCUGAUGUGCUGGAAUGUCUAAGUACGGUCAGCAACCUGAGCUUCCGAACCUAUGAUAUGAGACAUCAUAUAAGAAGAAUUGAGUAUGCUGUUGGUACUUUGAAUAUAUUGGUAUGCUAAAUUAGGUUAGGUUGAUAUGCAUGAGCUCAUGUGUAUGAAUAAUAACUGAAUGAAUGAAUAGCAUGAGAUAACUGAUGCAUUGUAUGCAUGAAGGUUGUAAAAUCUAAGAAUGCCUGACCAAGUAUAUAAUAUGACAUGAGAAUAGUAUAUAAACUGAAAUAAUAAAAUUUGAGUAUUGAUUUAACUAAUAAACUGUAUGUUAUGGUCAAGCAAACCUGAACUGACUUUCAAACUGAGUUGGACUGAGACUGUGGGAGCUAUCAUCUAAUCGACAUGCCCUAAUAGAAGCUAAUUGGGGUGCAACCUAUAAAUCCAGUUGGAAGGGUAUCAGAACCAUGCCAUGGGUAAUAACAUUGGCUAUGUGAAUCCACUAAAGUGAAGUCUCAAAGGACAAAAUAGUCACCCUCUACUGGCAGGUGCUCUAGUGAGAUAUAUGUCAACCCUCAACUAACAGUUUAAUAUCUCAACCUACACUGGCUACGUAGUUCUAGAAUGCAGGGAUGACUAUUAAAGGUCACACCCUCAACUGGCAGGUGAGCCCCCAUCCCUGGGUUUACUCGGUGCUAAAUACUACACCCAACUGAAUUGACUCUAUUUACUAGGCUGAACUAAGCUUACUUAUGUGAUAACUGAUUGAACUGAUAAUACUCUAAUAUAUACGAAACCAUUUUGAAAAUACUGAGACUAAGUAAACACCUAAGUUUUUGGGUAUUCAUAAACCCUCGGACUUGAUAACAUUAAUAGUAGAAACAUACUAAAUCUUCAAAGCAUAAUAAGUAGUCAUUGUUCAAAAUCUAACAAUUUAGGCAUUUCAUCAAACACUUGAAAUUCAUGAACUUAGGCAUGGGGAUGAUUGAAACAUGUGGUAAUAACAUAGUCACAACACUAAAAUCAUACAUUGGGUAUUUGACAUGGAAUUUCUCGCUUCAAAUAUGUAAGGCUACUGUUGAUCAUCCACACUACUUUGAUAAUAAUUUCACAACAACAACUAGUAGUUUCAUUUUUUAUUUACUAAUGUUGCCACCUCAUCAUGAACCCCUCAUUAACCUAUGAUUACUACUUUUACAAUUCAAGAUUCAUCAAUAUCUGAUCACAUGAUUAAUGUUUCAGUUGUUAGAGUUUUUAUCCUGAUUUUCUUACCAAAUUUAAGAUUUACUUUUUCUUAAAAGAAAAAUAAAAGUAAUAACAUAAUUACUUUUACUUUUCCGUAACUGGUAAAGUUGCACUCAUGUGACCAAGAAGUCAUGGGUUCAAGCCUUGGAAACAGCCUCUGACACAAAUGCAAGGUAAGAUAGCGUACAAUAACCCUUGUGGUGGGGCCCUUCCCCGGACACCACGUAUAGAGGUAGCUGUAGUGCACCGGGCUGUCCUUUUUACCUUUCCUUAAAAGAAAAUAUAAUUCUUUUUCAUAUUUGGCCAACCUCUUUCUUGGUGAAAAGAUUUUGAAACUCUAUAAAUAAAACACCCCCUUCUCAUACAAUAUUGCAAUAGCAUCCACAAUAUAGUUGUUUAAGAGUCUUAUUUUGGAAGAGAUUUGCUCCCAAUAGUUUUGUGUUUACUUUAAUUUUAGUUGUCAUGUGUAGGUCAAUUGGACAAAUAAUAUCAAUUAUAUAUCUUUUUAUUAUACUUUUAUUUUUCAUCUGAAUUAUCAUCUUCUUGAUUUGUAAACUUUAAUUUUUUGCAUGAGCCACUACCAAUUUUGAACCUAGCAAGUGCUAUAAAAGCCUAUGGCUCAAAGGUCCAAUGGUUUGGUGAAACAAUAUUAAAGAAAGGUUCAAAGCUGUUUCACAAUCAAGAUGCAACCAGUUUUACGACAAUGAUAAUUUUGUUUAGUUACAUGUGGAGAAGAAGUUUUAAGCAUAUUUUGACAAUCCUAUAGUUGCAUCUUUAAAAAUAAAAAUAAAGUAUUAAUUUUGAAUAUACUUUUAACCAUAAUAUUUUAAAUCUUAAUUUUAACCAUGAAAAACAGUUGUAAUGAAGAUUAUGUUAAGGACGAAGUUCAUGCAUGAAGAAGGCGGAUCAAGUGAAGAACAUCAAGCCAAAAGGUGAGAUUCGUUAGGGUUUUUGCCCUGAUUUUCUUACAAAAUUUAAGUUUUACUUUUUCUUGAAGGAAAAUAAAAGUAAUAUCAUAAUUAUUUUUACUUUUCUUGAAAGGAAAAUAAAAGUAAUAUCAUAAUUAUCUUUCUUGGAGGAAAGAUUUUGGAACUCUAUAAAUAGAAGACCUCUCUACUCAUACCUUAAUACAAUAGUAUGCACAAUAUAGUCGUUAAAGAGUCUUGUUUAGGGAGAGAUUUCUCCCAAUAGGUUCAGUGAUUUUUGGAUAUUAGGUUUUCAUAUAUAGAACAAUGGUUAAAUCAUAUAAUAAUAUUAUAUUUUCUUUUAGUAUUUUAUAGUGUGUCAUCUGAAUUAUCAGUGGUUGGGUUUGCAAACUUUAAGCUUCUGGAUGACGCCAUCUCGAUUUCGAAUCCAACACCAGUGACUCCAAAUUUAUCAUCGAUUUCUUCAUCAUCAACUGAAUUACCUGCUGAUGACUAUCAACAAGCUAAAAUUUUACUUCUUUAUGGAUAAAAUGUAUAUUUCUUUUUGUCUAGUCGAUUAUUAGAAAACAUGAAAUUAGCUAUGAUAAAAAUUAUAGGUAAUCCUUAGCUAAUUUGUCACAUUAUAACUUCUAGCUAACUGGAUUUUCUAUAGAAUGGUCGACUGUUGAGAUUAAUAUGAGAUUUUUUAUGUUUAGCUAUGAAUUUUUUUUCCGCACUCGAUUCCCUGUUUUGUUUAAGUUGCCCCAAAUUUAGUUUCCCCUACCCCCUCUAUUUUUUUCAAAAGAAAAUCCUUUCAAUAUUUGUGAAUUUAAUAAUUUUAUGUUGAAUGAGAAGUUUUUAUAGCUACAUCAAUAAUAUUAAUGUUUUUAAAACAAUUCUCAUGUCUUACAUAUGUUAAUAUAUUUGUGUAAGGGUCAAAUACAUAACUAUAUAAGGUUACCAGCUUCUACAACACAUAAAAAUAUUCUGAUGAUAUAAUAUUUUUUUAUACCGACAAUGUAGAUAACAUAAAGUUCUACAAAGAACUUGCUUCUUUCUCUAUAUCUCUCACAUUUAUAUUACUUUCUUCACUUUCUAUUUUUAUUUGAAAAAUUAAACAUUCUUUCCUUUAAUUUUUUAUCUUUAAUAAUAACAUGACCUUAUAUAUAGUUACAAGAAUAUGAUGACAUGUUUAAAAUUAUAAAUUCUACGGACAAUUCCAGAUACAUGAAAAGAGUUGAAGUUUUCAAAUUCCUUGUCUCAUGAAAUAGACAGUGUACAAAAGGAUUGUUCGAUGCUCAAAGCAUCUCGCUUAUGAAUAUUUCCUUUUUCCUUUCGUCAGCAGCUAGUCUUAUAAUGCAAGUGUGAGAUAUAUGCAUAAAAUGUCUUGUGCAUGCAGGAACUACUAUCAUUGCACAACAACAUCAUGUAGUGUGAAGAAGAGAGUGGAAAGGUCAAUUCAACAUAUUUCAAUCGUUAUUACGACUUAUGAAGGUACACACACGCAUCCCUGCCUCGUAACGCCUAAGGGUUAUGUCGGCGUUCAGACGGUAACCACCAACUACAAUGGCUUCAUAGGUGGUGGUGAUAGUAGAGGAAGAACUUGUUAUGGUGAUUCCUCUUUCUUAUUUUCAACUAAUAAUUCAUGAGAAGAAAGAAGGUUCUGGAGCUCUUUUUCCUCUUUGAAUGAAGAUCAUGGACUAAUUCAAAGAUAUGAUGUCAUCACAUAUGAGAAGAGAUCUUAUAGAAGAGUAAGAAAAGAAAUUAGGAUAUAUAUACUCAAACCCAAUUUAUUUGGGACUGAGUAUGACAGAUAAUAAAUUUUAUAAUGCAAUGGUUCGAUUAUAUAACUAAAAUACACUCAAACGCUUUUUAUAUUUUGGACUAGUUUUGCCUAAUUUUUUCUAAUCUUUUUUUGUGUUUCUUUAUAUAUUUUAGAUAAUUGUGGUUUUCUAUAUUUUUUAAGAGAAUAAAAUACAAAUUCCCAAUUCAAAAGCUUUAUAUUAAUCAUCACACAAGUUAUUAGUGAGUCUAAUAUGAUAUUUCAUUGUGAAAAGAAAUAUUGUAAAUUUAUAUUAUUAACUGGUUGUAGAUGACAACUACCAGUAUCUUUUUAAAUAAAAAUAUAACAAUCUUUUGACCAUCUUACCAUUUGAAAUUAAUGCAAAUCCAUCAUAAGAUUUCAUCAAGUAUAGUUCUUGCAUACUGUCAUCAUUCAACUGUUUCACUACAAUCACCUUUUACAUAGCUUUUUAAUUCUAAUAGCUUAUUUUAUAUAUUGAUUUAGCGAUAUUUAGAUAGAUUAUACACAUCUUUACCACACGAUCAAAUGAGUUUAUCACCUUUUUAAACUUCUCCUGUUAAAUUAGAACGCAUAAAAUAAAAUCUGGGAUAAUAUGAUACUCUAAGCAAUAGAAACAAAAUGAUAAAUUUAAUAUUAUGGCUUAAUAGCACUUAUUUUAAAUAUAAUUAUAACAACCUUUCAAUCUCCUUACAAAUAUUAUUCUAAGUUUUUUGUAAAAAGGUCCCUUUUUAAUUAUCUUGAAUUUUAAAUUGUUAGAUCUCGUAUCCCAAUACCGUCCAAUCUCGUCACCAACCCUCAAUUCAAGAUUUGCAAAUAAAUUCUCACAGGCAAUUGUGUAGUCUUUGCUAAGCUCCAUCAUCUGAUUGGAAGCUUGAUGAUUUUUAGAAUUUGCCACACCAGUAACAUCCACUAGUUCUACUUCCUCCUUGUUUCCUUUCUUUAUCAGCGUGACCAUAUCUUUCAUCCAAUGCUUAAAUAUGUGGAUCUUCAUAUCCUCGAACGACAAUACUAAUAUCGUCACGGACUUCUCAAAGUCCAUGAUUAUUUUGGUAAUAGUCCAUGGAUUUUGUACAUUCAUCCAUACUUCUUCUUCUGUUUUUGAUGGGAUGAAAUUGUCCAUGAAAGCCUUUUUUCUAAUAAUAAUAAUAAUUGAGAAAAAGUGUUUGAUGAAUUUUCACAAUGUUGAGCAAGGAUGAAUAGAAAUUUAUAGGGAUGUUUUGUGUUAAAUUUGGAAAGCAUAUGACACUAUAAAUUAUUUUCCUAAUAAAGUUUUUGUAUAAGAUUACAUAAUUAAGAUAAUUUUUUCUUUGUGUAAAUUUGUACACCAAUUUAAAGAACCAUUUAGAAUUAAUUUAAUGACUUCCCAAAUUUUGACCAGUCAUAUUUUAAAUUUUUCUGGUUAUAUUAGAAAUUAAUUUAAUGACUUUCCAAAUUCUAGUCAGUCAUAUUAGAAAUUAAUUCAAUGCCUUUCCAAAUACUGGCUAGUCAUAUUUUGAUUUUUUCUUGACACCUUUCUACUACUACUACUUGAUUUGAUACAUUACGUCCAAAGCAUAUUUUUGUAGUUACAAGUAAUUUUAUUUAAUAGAAUAUAUAAUAAAUAUUAAUUAAUCGGUUAUAAUAAAUUAGCUUACACUAAUGACUAUAUAUCUAAUUAAUAGAAAAUCCAUCAGUAUAGGAGCUUAUAAAUCUCUCAAACAUUAGUUUUCAAAAUUAAACUUUCUAUCACUUAAAAAUCGUCUAGGUAUAUUGUUGUGUCAUACAGGUCCAUGUAUCAUGACAUGCGCAAGUAUUUCAGUAACUGAAGAUAAUUUUGGUAAUAAAAUCUAUUAAUUCAAGGCGAAAAUCAAGGGAUUAACGAAAAUAUAUAUCUUGGUGAUGUAACUUGAUUAAUUUCAUUGAAUUACCUUUUAAAAUAUUAAAUUUGUUAGUGAAUCAGAAAAAAUCGAGUUAAUUAGGUCUCAAAACAUACACCAAACACCGAAUGAAAAUCAAAUGAAAAUACUAUAUAUGUAGUCUAACAUAUUAGGUGUAACGCCCUGAGUCUGUACCUCGGACGCUACACGGUGCUCAUAAUUUCGAAGGAGAACAAGCUAAUCCAUGACUGGUACCUGCUGCAAUAACUGAAUAAUAAUAAUGUCAUAUGCAGAAAUUAGGCAGAAAACAUGCCAUAAGGUUGAAUACUGAAAUAAAACUGAAUACGGUAUAACAAAUACCAAAUUUGAUACAUGUGUCUAAAAGUAUUCUAGUCUUAAAAAGCCUCUAAAUUGUCUGAAAUAUGGAGUUGAUGGGUCAAGUCACCAACUAACUCCGAACUACUGAAAUAAGCUGAACUACUGAAAUAAUCAUCAUGUUCUCUAACUAAGAGGACUCACCACUUACUCUAUCAGCUGAAUAUCUGAACUGCUAAGUUUGAUCAGGAGCCCGCGCGUCUGAACCUAUGAUAUAAAAUAUCAUAGCGCAAAUGAAAGGUAUGUAUUAGUACUUUGAAUGUACUGGUAUGUAAAAUGAGGUAGGCUGAAAUGUAUGGGUUCAUAUGCAUGAACAAUACUGACUGAAUGACACGAGUAUAACUGAAUGAGAGUACAGGAAUGAAUACGUAAACUAUAAUUGAGAUCGUGCUAACACUGGAAUGCCAAAUUUGAGUACGGAUUAAAUGAUAUUUGAGCCUACUGAUACUCAAUUUUUGAUAGCUGAGUGACUGUAUCUGACAGUCUUGAAUCUGUGAAACUAUACUAAGUUCUGAUCUGAGUUUAGUAACUGUGUCUGACAGUUCUAAUUUUUUGUAGAACAGAACUGAGUUCUAUACUGAGACUAGAAUUGAAACUGAGACUGUGGGAAGUAAUCAUCUAACCAACUUGCCCCUCUUUGAACUGAUUGAGGUUCAACCUGUAACUCCAGCUGGAAGGGUGUCAGUACCGUGCCAUGGGUAAAGAUAAGCUGAGUCACCCUUAUCUUCCAGGUGCUCUGAACGAGAAUAGUGGUACCAUCAACUAGAAGGUAGAUCACCUCAUCAACCCUUAACUGGCAGGUUGAUGUCUCAACCUACGCUUGCUACGUAAUUCUGGAACACAAAUACUGUUUCUAAGGAUCAUACCCUUUACUGGUAGGUGAGUUCCCAUCCGUGGGUUCACUCGAUGCUGAAUCCUACUCCCAACUGAAUUGACACUGGACUAGAUUCUAGACUAUUCUAGGCUGGACUGAGCUGUUUCUGAUCGUACUGUAUAACUAAACUGAACUGAGUUCACUGGUUUCCGUGGACUGAUGGAAUACUACUGAAUUUUGUUAUGACUAAAUUCUACCAAUCGUGACAUGACUGAUACUAUCCCGUGACUGACCAUGGCUCUAGGUAAACAGCUAAAUUAUCGGGUAUUAAAUACCCUCAGGACUCAAUAGCAUAAAUUGUAAGACAUGGCAUAAUCUUGAAAUAUGAUAGCUAAGUACUUGGUCAUCGUACAUUUGUUUGGGACAUUCUAGCAAACACUUGCAUGACAUAAACUUGAAUAUAUGCUGACAUGAUAUAAUUUCACUAUUCAACUAACAUAAAUAAUUCAUUAAACACUUGAAGGAAAUAAUCUAUGCACAUGACACUAACACAAUAUGUAAGCAUCAUAGUUCAAUUCCUCAUUUACAACUUCAAAGGUUUCAACAUGGUUUUGCAUGAUAAUGCACACAUAUCAAUCAAUUCCACAUGAAUCUUGUAGUAAAUCAUGAACUAGAAACCCCAUUAACAUGGUAAUCAUGAACUCAUUCAAAUUCAACCAUAAAAUUCAUCAAACUCAUAAACUUGUAGUUAAAAAGGGUUCUUGAACUCCAAGGAUGGAAAAGAACCCUUGGAUGAACACUUGACAUACCCUGGUUGCUAAAUUCCUGAAGAACAAUGUUGGAAAUCUUGAGCUGAAAUUAAAUCACCUAGAGUUUUUGUUCUUGAGCAAUUUGAUAAAAAGUAAGUAUAUUUUGCUCAAUGAGGGUUGAAUCUCGUGUUCUAUGGCUAAAUAAGGGUGAAAAAAAGACUCAAAUACCCCCAAGGACGCGACUUUUAAUGACUAAAAACUGGUAUGUCGACGCGCAGGACAACGCGCCGCAUUAUUGGCAUCGACGCGAUAGCCAACGCGCCACGUCGAGUCUGCAUCGGUUCACUAUAAGUAGCCACUAGAAGUCAAGGAAAAAUAUUGAUCGACGCGAUGGCCGACGUGCCGCACUAAGAUCGCGUUGAUACACUAUUUUGGAUUCCCAAACGUGGUUCUAAUGAGGUCCGAAAAAUACGAAACUCGUCCGAAAACAUCUACUGACAUUUUUUAUCAUGAAUCAGCCUAAAGAUUGACAUUUUAAGGCCAUAGGGGCCACGAAAUAGAAUUUCCAGCUUACGAAGACUAAAAUAACACUAAGUUUGAAUACUUAGCAAAUUUUCUAAGUCUGGAACCCCUUAACAAGCUUUAAAAAGGGCUGAGUUAAUUUAAGGAUUUCGCGGGGUCUUACAUUAGGUUUCCUAUAAGCUAAGUGGAGCUUAGGAAAUCAAUUAUGAGUAAACGUUGAGCAAUAUGGAUAUAUUUAUGUAGGGUAUAUUAUAUGCACCCAUAGACGACUAUGCUUAGAUUUGGUUUUUCUUUAAUUAAUUUUUUUCCGGUCCAGUCCGGACCAUUUUAUUAACUAAAAAUUACACAAAUACACAACUUAUGUUUUCAAUAUUACAAGAAAUCCCAUCUCCCUAAACAUAUUAUAGAAAUCCCACAUAUAGACAGAAUGCUAUGUAUAUAUCGGUUAUGUUAUGUCUAUUAAUAGGGAGAGAGAGUAAAGUAAUAAAAAAAGUGGGAGAGAGUGUAAUUACUUUUAAAAUAUUGAUAUUUAUGUGAUUUAUACUUAUAUUAAUAAUGAGAUCUCAAAACACGGUCUAUAACUUUAGAUUGAUGGAGGGGCCCAAGCAAAGACCCGAUCCAAUAAAUUGAAAGAAUGCUUAGAGUUGUUUCCUUAUUAAGUUUAACAAAUUUUUAUUUAGCUUUCUCCUAUACUGAAUGAAAUUCAUAGCUUACCAUAGUCCUCCCCACCCCACCCCACCCUAUAGCUUCAUCUUUGUGGAAUAUAAAAAAUUCUUUAUCAUCAUUUUCCUAUAUAUCCUUGUUCAAAUAAAACAUAUAUAUGAUUGCCAUGGAUGAAAAGUUGGAAGCCAAUAAUUUUAAAGGUAAGUUUCACUUAGUGGAAAGCUCAUGAGGACUUUACUUUUUCUAUUUGAAUCAUUUCUACCGAGUUGUUUAGUGUAUAGUACUUUUUCAUAAAGCAUGUCUCACAAACGAAAAUAUUUAUUAAAAUAAGGAGAUCGCAAAAGUUUGACCAAACAGGCAUGCCCUUUUUUUUACUGUUUUUGUGUGGAAUUUAGCCUACGCGCAUUUAAUUUAAAUUAUGUAGCAAGUUCAAAGUAUAUCUAGAAAUGUGGAUGGUACCCUUUAAUAGUACCAUAUUUCAAUCAUGUAGAUAUAGUUAAUUCUAAUAUGAUGGAUUACCAAGUAUAACUUGUCAUAUGUGUCCAAAAUUAUUCCUGACAAAAAAAUAUUUAUUAAAAUAAGUCUAUUGUAAAGUUUAGCCAAACAUGCUAUAAGCCAGUCCUUUUCUCUUUUAUUGAAUUUAGACUGUCCAUUUUUAUUUGAAUAUAUAGCAAGUUUCAAGUAGCUAUAAAUGUGGAGGUAGCCCUUACCACAAUAUUCCAACAAUAUAGAUGGCACCUCUUAACUCUGAGAUAAUGGACUACCAACAAAACUUUCUUUUUGUGUGUGUGGAUUAAUGUAUUACUUAAUGUGCGUAAUACUUAUUUUGGGUCACAUUAUUUUACUGUUGUUGUGUUCAAUUUAUAUAUUUUCUUUUUUCAAACUAUUCAAAAAUAUUUUAUUUUAAGUCAGUUCUCUCCAUACCUCAUUUGUAUGAUUACCCUUUGAUAUGUUGUUGAGGUCUAUGUUUGUCUAUAAAAAAUGCAAGGACAAAAACAAUGACAAAAACUUUCUAUUUCCAAGUAUAAAAGGAUACACAAGUUUAUCAAUGUGCUAAUUUCAAGCCCAAAGAGCAAGGAUUGACAUUGAAGUAGAGCCAAGAAGAAGAUCAAUAAAAGAUACUUUUUUCAAGAAUGGCUGACCACUCAUGAAUUUUUUGUGAAAGAAAUCAAAGGCAAUAAGAUCAACUAAAGCCAUGUAUAUGUGUAUACCGGAACCGGAAGAUAAAGACCCCAAUAAACCUUCAAAGAUAAAGGCAUUUGGGCUUGUGUCACCAUAUCCUGCUAUUGAAAAAACAAUCAUUCUCAAUAUUAUACCCAAUAAUAGAUAUUUUUACCAAAAAUGUUCAAUCUUAAUUAACAAUUUCAACUUUUAUUCAAACACGUAUCAUUGAGUAGAUUCUAGAGCGGGCUAAUAAUAGUAAUUUUAGAUUCAAUCACAUAUUUGGGAAGGCGAUUGUUCUGCAGAUCCUUAGGAAAGGAAUAUAAAGAAAAUAAAAGAAGCUAUUUCACUUCCCUCACAGGUUAGAGCUACAUUAAAGUUUGAACAACAAAAUAUUUCAAAUUUCAAAUUCAGAACUAGCAAAAUAAAUUUCAAGUUUGCCGCAAGGAUUAGGGUCCUGAAUAAUAUUCUAGUGUAUCAGUGCCUCAGGGGAAAGUAUACAUUGGUCAUAGCCAAUCAUGUCUCCUGAAUCGGCAAAACUCAAUUUCGAGCAAUGAGCCCUUACACUCAAAUGCCUUCUUGGGGUAACCAUCUAACUCUCUUUAAGUCCAUUUUUAGUCCUUUAAGAAUCAUGCUUCAUGCUCAUAAAAAUUCACUUCUGAUUCUUGUAAGGGCAUGCAUAUCAUAAUAGGGUAUCGUCAUAUCCAGACUUGCACGUCAUUCAUAUCAUACCACAGCAUAUCCAUAACCCUUUUUAUUCAAAAGCAUGUUAGUGACCAACCAAAAGAUUUAAACAUCACAUGAAAGAGUUCUUGUUUCAAAACACAUGAAAACUCAUGAAACCUACUCCCUUUUCAAUACUUUAUCAUACGGUGGUCAUCUUUUUCAUCAAUCACAUGCAAAUUCUUUAUUAGAAAACACGAGCAUUUGUAAAUCAAGGGAAAAACCCCUCUCACUCAUUCGUAAAACAAUAAAAAUUCAUAAAUAUUAGCAAAAUAUUUAAGCUCAAACUUUUAAUCAUCCUUGUAAACAAUUCACAACAUUGUUAAGACAAUGAGUUUCAUAACAAGAGAGGGAAUAAUUCAAAUCAUGCUCUCAUAUAACUUCUCAAACUAAUAACAUAUGUACACAUGAAAAUAAUUCAAGUUUUGGGGAAACAACCUCAUAGAUUAUACAAGAUUUCAUCAUAAAACGUGGUUUACAAUGCAUGCUUUUCAACAAUUUCAAAAUCUAUCUCAUAUAUGAAAUUCUAUACCUAAAUAAAGUUUUUUUAAACGUUAAAUUUAUGCCCAUGGAAAUUAGGAUAGUCCCACAUACCUUUAAAUUGACAAAAACGUAGAUAAAAUUUUCCCUUGAAUCUUAAUUCCACAAACCCUAGCUAAAGACGGAGCUGGGACUUAGAGCUUCGCGCCCUAUCCUGAUUAUCAUUUUUGAACUUCGGCACUGGAGCACUAGCUGAAGACGAAGUUGGGGCUAAAGAUUUCUGACGGAAUUGAGGAUGGUUACCACCCUCUGGCCUUGGCAGAGCAAAACUAAAGCUACCUGUUCUGGCUCUCUUAUUCUCCCUCUCUCUUUCCUUAAAUUUCUACUCCUCAAAUUGUUGAGCAUGGACUAUCAACCCAGACAAGUCCAUCUCCAUAAUCAACAUCUUGGUUCUACACUCCUUGACCAAGCUAUCAGCUAUCCCAAAAAUAAACUUACUCAUCCUAGACCUGUCAUCAGACACCACAUUAGGAGCAUACCUAGCCAGCCAAGUAAACUUAAGAGAAUACUCUUUCAGACUCAUGUUCCCCUGCUUCAAAUUGAUAAACUCUUGAACCUUAGCUUCCCUUAACUCCAAGGGAAAAAAACUAUCUAAAAAUUACGUAGAAAACUCUUCCCAUUAAAUAGGACCUGCAUCUGCGUCUUUAUCUCUCUUCCACUGCUUAUACUAGUGUGAACAACAUCCUGCAACUGGUAAGCACCCAACUCUGCACUCUCACUAGAAGUCACACCCGUAAUGCCAGUUACCUUCUGAACCAUUUCAAGGAACUCCUGCGGAUCCUCACCAGACUUAGAUCCUGAAAAUAGAGGAGGGCUCAUUCGGGUGAAGUCCCAAAUCCUAGCUGCGGCAGUAUUAGCCACUGAAACGGCUGGGACAAGAUCCUACUCACUGAAAUGAUUGGGACAGGAUCCUAUUGAUUAUUUUGGGUUGUUACUAUGUGAGCUAUAGUAGUGAAUCCAGCUCUAAAUUUACCAUGAGAAACAUAAUCAUUUAGGGGAUCUUUCUGAACUGUCGGAGAUGCAGGCUGAUUCCCUUUUCUUUUUUCAUUAGUCUUACUGAGAGGCAUGUUUUGUAAACAGAAAGAAGAUUGAAUUAGAAAAGGGAGUUUAAAUUGAGCUUAUGCUCAUUCGCACAAAAUGAAUACUAAAAGAAGGGAAACUUUUCCUAAAACGUCUUAUAGCCUCGUGUCCAUAGAUAUGGCGUGCUUCACACACAUGCACAAGACUCAACCAAAUUCGGUUUUUAGAAUUCCUAGGACACUUUAAAAACUUAAGCUCUGAUACCAAGUUUGUAACGCACCGAGAGUGCACCUUGGAUUCCACACGGUGCUUAUGAUCUCAAGUGACCACAAGCUAACCCAUGAGCUGGUACCUGUUGUGACCACUGAAUAAAUUGAUAAUAAAAGAUAUACAUGUGCAGAAAAAGCUGGAUAUGCUAUAGGGUUUAAAUGCUGAAAACAAUACAAUGAAAUCCACAAUUCUGAAACAUAAGAAAAAGUGUUGAAAACUAUCAACUAAUUGACUGUCUGAAAUGUUCGAAAUCCUUUAAAACUAACUGAAUCGAAGACAUUUUUCAUUCAUCAAAUCAGUCUUCGUAGAUAAUCGGAGGCAUCCUUCAUUUAUCCCAAGUCCCCAUGAAUAAUCAAAGGCGCCAUUCAUUCUCAAGUUCUUGUAUACAAUCAGAGGCAUCAUUCAUCUUUUCAUUAAAAUAUAUAAUUAAAAAAGUUAUUUUCUUCAAAUUCCAUUCAAAAGGCCAAAUUCUAGCCAUAACUCAUACACUGGGGUAAAUUUUGAGAGCCGCCCCAAAAAUAAUUUUCUAUUUUCGCAUAUCGAACUACAUUGAUCUGAUUUUCUUGACACUCGAGAUAUGUAGGAAGCACUAUGCAGAGUUCGAUCAUGGCAAUGACAUAAUCAUUCUUUCUCCCCACCAAGUACUCAAUCUUGUAUCCCCAGCAUCUCACAGCUCGAUACUGGGAAAUUUCAAAAGAAGCAUCGGGAAUAUAUGAACACUUUCGUUCCCAAACAACCCUCCUCUCAAUAAUCAUUCCAUAUGAUCAUUUGCCCCUAAUAACAAGGCAAAAGGCAAUUGCAUGUUCUUUUAAACAACAUCCGACCUGAUCCUCAUACAGCUCGAGGUAUGUAGGUAACUUUGAAUUAGAGUUCGGCCAAAUUUUUUUCAAAAAAUAUAUAUAUAUCAUUUUUGUCGAGCAAAAUUGGCUACACGUCAACAUUUUCAUUUGAAUAUUUCUACAUCAUCCUCAAAUGAAAAGGGGCAACUGUUGACACCCAAUUUUUGCUCUUUAUGCCUAAAUUUAAUGUCUUCAGGCUUCCUGGCCAUUAAAGGGCACAAAAUAUAAUUUUCACAUAUUUUUACUUUUCUUAAUUUAUUGAUAAUUCUCUGUACAUUAGAAUUUUUAUCAAUUCAUUAUCAUCUGUAAUAUUUUUUCACAAUCAUCUACUCACAUACAUGACAUGACAUCACAUUUUAUAACAUUUUCAAAUUAAUUACUUUUUUUUCAAUAUUUUUAACAUUCUUUACAUUUUUCAAUAAUUACAAAUCAAUUUCUAUAUUUUUUACAGUCCGCAAAUAUUAAAUCGGAUCAAUUAUUUUUGUACAGUAUAGUAAUUUGAUGUCUUGUCACAUCUGAUAAGUACCACACAAUAAUCUCUAAUCACAUCCGACAAGUUAUUGAUAAUUGUCAUUAUUUUAGAAUUUUGACCAAUUUAUUGUCAUAUUUUAAUUUUACAUAUUUUUUCUUAAUUUCGUAAAUGUUAGGAUUUUUAUCAGUUUAUUACCAUUUUAAUAUUUUUGAACAGUCAUCUACAUACAUACAUAACAUAAUACUACAAUUCUUUUUACAUAUUAUAAUUUUAGUUGUUUAUAGUGUAAUACAUUUUUUUUCAAAGAUAAUUAUAUCUGUUUAUAUUUUUCUGUAGUUAUAUAUAUUGAUAUUUUUAUUUUGUACCUUAUUUAUUUCAGUCUACAGAAAUAAUAUCGGUUUAUUUUAAUAUAAAUAAUAAAUUGGUCAAAUCAAGGUCUCAUCACUCUUUAUCAGUUUUGACUUUAAUUUACCUACUACCCAAAAUUUAAGAAAUUUGUUGGAAGAAAUAAUUUCUUUUUUCCUUUUAUUUAUACCAACACACCUAUACAUAAUAGACACACAGAUUCACAAUACAAACACCUACACGUAUUUUUCUUUCUUUCCCAACACACACGCCUUUUUCUCUGUACAUCAGCAGCUACUAUCAGAGCUCCGGCGAACGGCUCCGGCCAACACAACCACUGUCACACUUCCCCUUCUUCUUUUCCCAAAUUCUGACCAUCAAACACCACCUCCAGCAGCACCACAAUGCUGACCAGCCAUCUUCACCAAAAAUCACUAUUUUCAAACACUUUGCGCCUCUUCUCUCCCACUAUCGAAGACAACACCGGCGAACUACCCCUGUCGCCCAUCUCUCCAUUUAUUUCUCUCUCUACCCUCACUGCCAACUGUUGGAUUUGACUAUCGAACGAUCGAAGACCGAGAAAACAACCCCACAACCACUACCAUCGAAAAUGGGUCAGAUCUAGCCAAGUUCAUGGCUUACGGCGUCGCUCCAGCGAAGGCCAUGGAAGCGACGUCAUUUUAUUACUCUUUUGUUCGUCGGUAUCACUGAAUAAAUAAGGCUUCAAUAUUUUGUGUUUUGUUGUAUUAUUUGGUUAUUCUCUCAAAUUUUGAUUUGAAAUUCACUGAAGAAUAAUGUUUUGUUUUACCUUUUUUUAUUGUUGCUCUAAAUGUGUUGGCCGGAGUUAAUAAAACUCCAUACUUUAGGACAAGCAUUUACAUGUUUCAAAUAUUUCUCUAAUUUUUAGCUUGCUCGAGUUUUUGUUAUGUUGCUACUGCUGCUCCAUUCAUUGUUAUUACUGCUGAUUUUGCUAUAGAUUUUCUAUUUGUGUAAUAUAAUUUUUUUAUUUGUGUAAUAUGAAUUUUCUACUAUCCACGGACUGAUUUCGCCACUUACAUUUUAUUUAAUGAGAUAGUACAAAAAAUAUUUGGCUAGUGAAAUUAUCUCUCCGUCGGAUACUUGAGGCCACCCUAACAAAAGACAGAUUUUGCUUUUUAGUUUACUUAUUUUAUAUCAAACAUCAAAACACUGCCUAUGACAAUAUCUUUUCGUUGGAUUUUUGAGGCCCC
Molecule: long non-coding RNA, 27137 nt
Filed under: Capsicum annuum
Lineage: Eukaryota; Viridiplantae; Streptophyta; Magnoliopsida; Solanales; Solanaceae
Description: long non-coding RNA (CANN_LNC008901)
Source: RNAcentral